RNAcentral lists this ribosomal RNA (208 nucleotides) under uncultured bacterium. RNAcentral describes it as "partial 16S ribosomal RNA". It matches the Rfam family "Bacterial small subunit ribosomal RNA", at positions 568 to 774 of the family's 1533-position model. The record is from RNAcentral.
UGCGUAGGUGGUAACGCAAGUCUGGUGUGAAAUCUCGGAGCUCAACUCCGAAAUUGCACCGGAUACUGCGUGACUCGAGGACUGUAGAGGAGAUCGGAAUUCACGGUGUAGCAGUGAAAUGCGUAGAUAUCGUGAGGAAGACCAGUUGCGAAGGCGGAUCUCUGGGCAGUUCCUGACACUGGGGCACGAAGGCCCAGGGGAGCAAACG